GUCCAGGGGCGGGAAUCGAACCCACGACCUUCCGCUUACCGGGCAGAUGCCAUGUCCACUAGGCUACCCUGGA
Molecule: transfer RNA, 73 nt
Filed under: Cordylochernes scorpioides
Lineage: Eukaryota; Metazoa; Arthropoda; Arachnida; Pseudoscorpiones; Chernetidae
Description: tRNA-Thr
Source: RNAcentral